GGCUGCACCUGCAGCAUAUGGAGGUUCCCAGGCUAGGAGUCAAAUCAGAGCUGUAGCCAACAGCCUAGCCAUAGCCAGAGCAAUGCUGUAUAAGAGCUAAAUCUGCGACCUACACCACAGCUCAUUGCAAUGCCAGAUCCUUAACCCACUGAGCAAGGUCAGGGAUCAAACCUGUCUUCUCAUGGAUGCUAGUCAGAUUGAUUUUCACUGAGCCAUGACGGAAACCACCAAAGAGCUUUUAUUUAUUUAUUUAUUUAUUUAUUUAUUUAUUUAUUUUUGUCUUUUUGCUACUCUUUGGGCCACUCCUGCAGCAUAUGGAGGUUCCCAGGUACAAAAGCCCUCUACGUCCCCCCGCUGUUUGUAGAAAAAGACUUUAUGAACCCUCCUAGGCCAUCUCUGAGUCCAAAGAGCUGCCUCUAGCAGUUGCUAUUUGGGGAAGUAAGGGAAUGCAGAAACAAAGGAAAAGCAGUUAAGUAAAAGAAGUAAGAACAGCAAUGAGAUGCUGCUGCAUAGCACAGGAAACUGUAUCUAGUCACUUGAGAUGGAACAUGACGGAGGAUAAUGUGAGAAAAACAAUGCGUGUGUGUGUGUAUGAUUUUAUACAGCAGAAAUUGACAGAACAUUUCAAAUCAACUAUAAUUUAAAAAAACUGAAAAAAAAAAAAAGAUAGCUUAAGCAAUAUUCAGUCCUAGCUCCUUCUCAAGGGAUAUACAUAACAAUCUGAUACAAAUUUUCGGCUGUCACACAGAAAAUAAGACCUUGACCCAGGUGGAGGACAAUAACUACAAACUGACUACAACACAAGCACAGAGACCCAGCAGGUGGUUAAGAUUCCUGAAAACAUCUCCUUGUUAACUUACCACCCACCAAUCAAAAGAGAGUCACACACCCUGCAGCCCUCACCCCCGAUUCUGCAUAUAAAACCUUUCCCUUUUGGGAAAGGUUUUUUGAACCACUGGGGAGUUCCGGGUGUGGGGGCACAAGCCAUCCAUUCUCCUUGCUUGGCCCUACAAUAAAUCUUUCUGUACUCCAAACUUUCAACAUUUCAGUUUAUUUAGCCUGACUGUACAUCAGGAACGCAAAGUCUAAUGGAAUAGCGCCCUGUGGGGCUCCUGGGCACACAAGCCUUUCUGUGUCCUCCAUUUCUCGUUUUUAGGGAAUAAGCCUCAGCCUCCAUGACCUUCCUGAGUUCCAAAGGUCAGUAGCUAAUCAGGGAAGGGAGAGGAGCGGUGGAGAGACUAUAGUGCAGCCUUGGGGCAGGGUCCUGGUUCCUCCUCAAGGAAUAUACCUAACGGUAUCUUUGAGCCUUUCUGCAGAACUAAAACCCCCAACAGAUGGAAGAACUACUUGAUGGAGCAGUUUUCAUUCUGGGAAAGAGGACCACCAGAAUCAGUCCUGGGGGUCACUAAACACCAACUUUGAAAGACAAAGCAAGUUCACCUCUAUCCUGAUCCUUAUCUAUGGCCCUAUUUUCCACUCCCCAACCUAUAAAACCAUCUCCUAAUUCCUUCCAAGGGGGGCACAGUCUUUAGGGCAUUAGCCGGCUGUGGCCUCCUUUGCCUGGCAAAGCAAU
Molecule: long non-coding RNA, 1573 nt
Filed under: Sus scrofa (pig)
Lineage: Eukaryota; Metazoa; Chordata; Mammalia; Artiodactyla; Suidae
Description: lncRNA (ENSSSCG00045020261.1)
Source: RNAcentral